Alnus glutinosa is the source of this 12152-nucleotide RNA transcript. It is a transcript of the gene named E3 ubiquitin-protein ligase UPL1, with no coding region annotated. The transcript is spliced from 16 exons. Lineage: Eukaryota; Viridiplantae; Streptophyta; Magnoliopsida; Fagales; Betulaceae. The record is from RefSeq and is a predicted model, not a curated record.
CUCUCUCUCUCUCUCUCUCUCUCUCUCUCUCUCUCACAAUCAAAACCCUAAUACCCGAUCGCAAAAACCUUGAAAUCCUCUUUGUUUUCGUUCCAAGUCCGUAUGAUUGUUAAUUGGAAUCAUAUUUCUAGGAUCCGAUCGUUGUGAAUAGUGACCAAAAGCCCUACUUUUUUACUUUUUACUCUUCGAUUUCGAGGUCUCUGACUCUUCGAUCGAUUCUCAGUUUUUGAGGAUUUGAUCGGUUUCUCCAAGCGGUUUCGGUUCGUGAAAUGCUUUUGAUUCCAAGAUGAAGUUGAAGAGGAGGAGAGCAUUGGAAGUGCCUCCAAAAAUUAGAUCCUUCAUCGAUAGUGUCACUGCUGUUCCACUCGAGAAUAUAGAAGAACCCCUCAAAGGCUUUGUUUGGGAGUUUGAUAAGGGAGAUUUCCAUCAUUGGGUGGAUCUUUUUAAUCAUUUUGAUUCAUUUUUUGAGAAGCACAUCAAAGGGAGGAAGGAUUUGCAGGUUGAGGAUAAUUUUCUGGAUUCUGAUCCUCCCUUCCCAAGAGAAGCCAUUAUUCAAAUUCUCCGUGUUAUAAGAAUAAUAUUGGAGAAUUGCACAAAUAAGCACUUCUAUAGUUCUUACGAGCAGCAUCUUUCUUUACUGCUUGCUUCAACCGAUCCGGAUGUUAUUGAAGCUUGCCUGCAGACUUUGGCUGCUUUUUUGAAAAAAACGAUUGGCAAGUACUCCAUCAGAGAUGCUUCUCUGAAUUCAAAGUUAUUUACUCUUGCACAAGGUUGGGGGGGGAAGGAAGAGGGGCUUGGAUUAAUUGCAACUGCUGUGCAUGACGGUUGUGACCCAAUUGCUUAUGAGUUGGGUUGCACGCUUCACUUUGAAUUCUACGCGUCCAGUGAGUUGUCCAGUGAACUCCCUGCCACAGAACUUUCAACCCAAGGCUUACAGAUCAUUCAUUUGCCUGACAUCAAUACUCGCGUAGAGACUGAUCUAGAGCUUUUAAGCAAUUUAGUUGCAGAAUACAAAGUACCUACCAGUUUAAGAUUUUCUCUAUUGACAAGAUUGCGGUUUGCAAGGGCUUUUGGCUCUAUAGCUUCUCGGCAGCAGUAUACCUGCAUUCGAUUGUAUGCCUUCAUAGUUCUUGUGCAAGCAAGUGGUGAUGCAGAUGACCUAGUUUCUUUCUUUAAUACUGAGCCCGAGUUUGUCAAUGAGUUAGUGUCGUUGUUAAGCUAUGAAGAUGCAGUUCCUGAGAAAAUUCGGAUUUUGUGUCUGCUUUCUUUGGUUGCUCUUUGUCAAGAUAGGUCUCGCCAGCCUUCUGUCUUGACUGCUGUCACAUCUGGUGGUCACCGUGGCAUCCUAUCCAGCCUCAUGCAGAAGGCCAUUGAUUCUGUAAUCAGUGAUGCUUCAAAGUGGUCUGUAGUUUUUGCUGAGGCGCUUUUAUCUCUUGUCACUGUUUUGGUUUCGUCAUCUUCAGGUUGCUCAGCCAUGCGCGAGGCAGGAUUUAUUCCUACUCUCCUACCUCUCCUUAAAGAUACAAAUCCACAACACUUGCAUUUGGUAAGCACAGCUGUGCAUAUUCUAGAAGCUUUUAUGGAUUACAGUAAUCCAGCCGCUGCCUUGUUCAGAGACUUGGGCGGUUUGGAUGAUACCGUUUCUCGUCUGAAGGUGGAAGUGUCACAUAUAGAAAAUGGUUCAAAGCAACAAGGUGAAAGUUCUGAUUGUAGUGGGAGGAGUAAGGAAGUAAUUGCAGGCGCCUCAAGUGAGCUAGAUGACAUGCAGCCUCUAUAUUCUGAAGCAUUAGUUUCGUAUCACCGGCGAUUGCUGAUGAAAGCUCUACUGCGUGCUAUAUCCCUUGGAACUUAUGCCCCCGGAAAUACUGCACGUGUUUAUGGCACCGAGGAGAGUUUACCGUAUUGCUUAUGCGUAAUUUUUAGGAGGGCAAAAGAUUUUGGUGGUGGGGUGUUUUCACUUGCAGCUACUGUCAUGAGUGAUUUGAUUCACAAAGAUCCCACUUGUUUUCCUGUCUUAGACGCAGCAGGUCUUCCUUCUGCCUUCUUGGAUGCUAUAAUGGAUGGUGUUCUCUGCUCUUCUGAAGCCAUAUCAUGCAUACCUCAGUGUUUGGAUGCUUUGUGCCUAAACAACAAUGGUCUUCAGGCCGUUAGAGACCGCAAUGCUCUGAGGUGCUUUGUGAAAAUAUUUACUUCAAGAACUUAUUUGCGUGCACUUACUAGUGAUACCCCAGUAUCCUUGUCUAGUGGACUGGAUGAACUAAUGCGCCACGCUUCCUCAUUGCGUGGGCUUGGAGUGGAUAUGUUGAUCGAGAUCUUAAAUGCCAUUUUGAGAAUGGGAUCUGGUAUCGAUUCUUCUUGCUUGUCCACUGAUCCUUUGUGCUCCUCUACCCCCGUUCCCAUGGAAACUGAUGGUGAAGAGAGGAACUUGAUUCUUUCAGAUGAUAGGGAAGCAUCCAAGAUGGAAAAUUCAGAGCAGACCUCUGAGCAAUCUGCUGAUUCCUCAACAGUUAAUAUUGAGUCAUUCCUCACUGACUGUGUGAGCAAUGCUGCUCGUCUUCUUGAAACAAUUCUUCAGAAUGCUGAUACGUGUCGUAUAUUUGUAGAGAAAAAGGGGAUUGAAGCUGUUCUGCAGUUGUUCACUUUGCCUUUAAUGCCUCUUUCAGUCUCAGUUGGUCAGAGUAUCUCCGUCGCCUUUAAGAACUUCUCACCACAGCAUUCUGCUUCUCUUGCUCGGGCAGUUUGUUCAUUUCUGAGAGAACAUCUGAAAUCAACAAAUGAACUCUUAGUUUCAGUUGGAGGGACUCAGCUUGCUGUGGUUGAAUCUGCACUGCAAACAAAGGUUUUGAGAAAUCUUUCCAGUCUUGAAGGCAUUCUGUCUCUUUCUAAUUUUUUAUUGAAGGGGACUACUAGUGUGGUCUCAGAGCUUGGCAAUGCAGAUGCUGAUGUGUUGAAGGAUCUUGGGUGCACAUACAGGGAAAUAAUCUGGCAAAUUUCUUUGUGUAACGAUUCCAAAGUGGAUGAGAAGAGGAAUGCUGAUCAAGAACCUGAGAGUUCAGAGGCAGCUCCAUCAAAUGCUGUUGGAAGAGAGAGUGAUGAUGAUGCAAAUACUCCAAUGGUGAGAUACAUGAACCCUGUUUCUGUCAGGAAUGGUUCUCAGUCCUUGUGGGCUGGAGACCGGGAGUUUCUGUCAGUAGUUCGUUCUGGAGAAGGUUUGCACCGUCGUAGUCGACAUGGGUUGACACGCCUAAGGGGAAGGACAGGCAGGCACGUGGAGGCUUUGAACAUUGACUCUGAAGUUCUGUCCAAUGUACCAGAGACAUCUUCCCAGGAUUUGAAAAAGAAAAGUCCUGAUGUUCUUGUUUUGGAAAUUCUUAACAAGCUUGCUUCAAUGUUCCGCUCUUUCUUCACAGCUCUUGUCAAGGGAUUCACAUCGCCAAAUCGUCGUAGAGUUGACUCAGGGUCGUUGAGUUCAGCUUCGAAGACCCUUGGAACUGGCCUGGCAAAGGUAUUUCUUGAGGCUCUUAGUUUCUCUGGGUAUUCUACUUCUGUGGGGCUUGACAUGUCAUUGUCAGUAAAAUGUCGAUAUCUUGGAAAGGUAGUGGAUGACAUGGCAUCCAUAACAUUUGACAGCAGGCGACGUACUUGUUAUACUGCAAUGGUUAAUAAUUUUUAUGUUCAUGGUACCUUUAAGGAGCUACUGACGACAUUUGAAGCAACAAGUCAGUUGCUGUGGACACUGCCAUACUCUAUCCCAACAUCAGGCAUUGAUCAAGAAAAGGCAGGUGAAGGAAGUAAAUUGUCUCACAGUACAUGGCUGCUUGAUACAUUGCAGAGUUAUUGCCGUGUGCUCGAGUAUUUUGUUAAUUCUUCUUUACUUCUAUCUCCGAGCUCUGCAUCCCAAGUGCAGCUUCUAGUGCAGUCGGUUGCAGUUGGUCUUUCAAUUGGGCUAUUUCCUGUUCCAAGGGACCCAGAAGUCUUUGUUCGUAUGCUGCAAUCUCAGGUUCUUGAUGUGAUACUUCCUGUUUGGAACCACCCCAUGUUUCCCAAUUGUAGUCUGGGUUUCGUUGCUUCCAUUCUUUCACUUGUUACACAUGUGUACUCUGGUGUUGGAGAUGUGAAACGAAAUCGAAGUGGCGUUGCGGGGACUGCAAACCAGAGAUUUAUGCCCCCACCUCCUGAUGAAACUACUAUUGGCACCAUUGUUGAGAUGGGCUUUACAAGGGCAAGAGCAGAGGAAGCACUGAGGCGAGUGGAAACAAAUAGCGUUGAGAUGGCCAUGGAAUGGUUGUGUAGUCAUGCUGAGGAUCCUGUACAGGAGGAUGAUGAACUAGCUCGGGCACUUGCUCUGUCGCUGGGGAGUUCGUCAGAAACAUCUAAAGUUGAUACUGUUGACAAGUCGAUGGAUGUCCUGACAGAAGAUGGGCAUAUGAAGGCACCCCCUGUGGAUGAUAUUCUUGCUUCGUCAGUGAAAAUUUUUCAGAGCAGUGACACAAUGGCAUUCCCGUUGACAGAUUUGUUUGUUACACUUUGCAAUCGGAACAAAGGAGAAGACCGUCCAAGAGUGGCAUCUUAUCUUAUUCAGCAGCUAAAGCUUUGCCCUUUGGAUUUUUCUAAGGAUACGAGUGCAUUAAGUAUGCUAUCACAUAUUAUAGCAUUGCUUCUUUUUGAGGAUGGAAGUACACGGGAAAUUGCUGCAGAGAAUGGUAUUGUAUCUACUGCAAUAGAUAUUUUGACCCACUUUAAGGCUAGAAAUGAGUCAGGGAAUGAGCUUCUGGUCCCAAGGUGCAUUAGUGCUUUACUGCUUAUCUUGGAUAACAUGUUGCAGUCCAGACCCAAAAAUUUUUCUGAGAGUCUGGAAGGAACUCCAGCAGGGUCUCAGCUGGAUUCGUCAGGAGAUCAUGCUUCCUUUUCAGAUCCUGCAUCAGUUCAUGAAAGAAAACCAGUUUCAGAUGUCCAUGAGAAAGAAUCUGGUGCACCAUUUGAAAAAUUAUUGGGGAAAUCGACUGGCUAUUUGACUGUUGAAGAGAGUCAUAAGGUGCUACUAGUGGCUUGUGACUUGAUAAAACAGCAUGUGCCAGCAGUGAUAAUGCAGGCUCUUCUGCAAUUAUGUGCUCGCUUGACGAAAACACAUUCACUAGCUUUGCAGUUCCUUGAAAAUGGAGGUUUGGCUGCUCUUUUUAGUCUUCCAAGAAGUUGUUUUUUCCCUGGAUAUGACACUGUUGCAUCUGCUAUUGUCCGGCAUCUCCUUGAAGAUCCUCAGACACUGCAAACAGCUAUGGAGUUGGAGAUACGACAAACUUUGAGUGGAAAUAGCCAUGCUGGGCGUGUUUCUGCACGAUCUUUUUUGACAUCAAUGGCACCUGUUAUCUCUAGGGAUUCUGUGGUUUUCAUGAAAGCUGCUGGUGCUGUUUGCCAGUUGGAGACAUCUGGAGGUAGGUCCUUUAUUGUGUUAGCCAAGGAAAAAGAGAAGGAAAAAGACAAAUCAAAGGCAUCUGGUGUUGAAACUGGAUUAUCUUCCAAUGAAUGUGUCCGGAUUUCUGAAAAUAAGAUUCAUGAUGGAUCAGGUAAAUGCUCCAAAGGCCACAAAAAGAUCCCUGCCAAUCUCACUCAAGUAAUUGAUCAACUUCUUGAUAUAGUCUUGAAAUACCCUUCACCAAAAAGCCUAGAAGUUGGUGUGAAUAAUUUAUCUUCUAUGGAGGUUGAUGAACCCGCUACGAAGGUAAAGGGUAAAUCAAAGGUUGAUGAGACGAUGAAAUUAGAGUCUGAAUCUGAAAGAUCUGCAGGACUUGCUAAGGUAACUUUUGUCCUCAAGUUGUUAAGUGAUGUUCUUCUGAUGUAUGUACAUGCAGUUGGGGUUAUACUUAAACGGGAUCUAGAAAUGUGUCAACUCCGGGGAUCUAAUCCAUCAGAUAGUCCUGGAAAUGGUGGUGGAAUACUUCAUCAUGUUUUACAUCGGUUACUUCCACUCUCUAUUGAUAAAUCUGCAGGACCUGAUGAAUGGAGAGGCAAGUUGUCUGAAAAGGCUUCCUGGUUCCUCGUUGUUCUGUGUGGUCGUUCUGGUGAAGGCCGUAGACGAGUAAUUAAUGAACUUGUGAAAGCCUUAUUCUCAUUUUCAAACUUAGAGAGCAAUUCUACUACGAGCAUUUUGUUGCCAGAUAAGAAGGUUUUUGCUUUUGUUGAAUUGGCAUAUUCUAUUUUGUUGAAAAAUUCAUCCUCCAGCAACUUACCUGGUGGUUCAGGGUGCUCACCAGACAUAGCAAAAAUCAUGAUAGAUGGAGGAAUGGUUCGGUGCCUAACUAGCAUUCUUCAAGUGAUUGAUUUGGACCAUCCUGAUGCUCCUAAAAUUGUGAAUCUUAUACUUAAGUCUUUGGAAAGUUUAACAAGGGCUGCCAAUGCUAGUGAGCAAAUUUUUAAAUCUGAUGGGAUGAACAAGAAAAAAUCCAUGGGGUUAAGUGGAAGACCCGAUGAUCAGUUAACUGCACCAUUGGCUGUUCAGACCAUGGAGCAUAAUCAGACUACAAACGAACAGGAGGAACUCAGAGAUGCAGAGGGGAAUGAACAACAGGAUCAUGGAAAUUCUCAAAGUGAAGAUAAUCAUAAUGCAAAUCCUAAUGAAUCUGUGGAGCAAGAUAUGAGAAUUGAAGUGGAGGGGACAAUGGCUACCAACCCACCUGUGGCGCUUGGGAUGGAUUUCAUGCGCGAGGAGAUGGAAGAGGGUGGUGUUUUGCACAACACUGACCAAAUUGAGAUGAAUUUCCGUGUUGAGAAUAGGGGAGAUGAUGAUAUGGGUGAUGAAGAUGAUGACAUGGGUGAUGACGGCGAGGAUGAUGAGGAUGAUGAUGAGGGGGAGGAUGAGGAUGAGGAUAUAGCGGAAGAUGGUGGUGGCAUGAUGUCUCUUGCUGAUACAGAUGUGGAAGACCAUGAUGAUACGGGCUUGGGAGAUGACUAUAAUGAUGAGAUGAUUGAUGAAGAGGAUGAUGAUUUUCAUGAAAAUCGUGUCAUAGAGGUAAGAUGGAGGGAAGCCCUUGAUGGGUUAGAUCAUUUGCAGGUACUUGGGCAACCUGGGACUGCAGGUGGUUUAAUUGAUGUUGCAGCUGAACCUUUUGAAGGAGUUAAUGUGGAUGACCUUUUUGGUCUUCGUAGGCCCUUAGGUUUUGAACGCCGUCGUCAGACAGGUAGGUCUUCCUUUGAGCGAUCUGUUGCGGAAGUAAAUGGUUUUCAACAUCCUCUCCUUUUAAGACCAUCCCAGUCAGGGGAUCUGGCCUCAAUGAGGUCAUCAGGUGGGAAUUCCAGAGAUGUGGAAGCUUUUUUGUCAUCUGGGAGUUCUGAUGCAGCUCAUUUCUACAUGUUUGAUGCUCCUGUUCCUCCAUAUGAUCAUGUCCUAAGGAGUCUCUUUGGUGACCGUUUGGUUGGGGCAGCACCCCCACCUUUGACUGAUUAUUCUGUAGGUAUGGACUCCUUGCAGUUACCUGGACGAAGAGGGCCUGGUGAUGGUCGGUGGACUGAUGAUGGUCAACCACAAGCUGUUGCUCAAGCUGCUGCUAUUGCACAGGCAGUAGAGGAACAGUUCAUUUCUCAAUUGCGCAGUAUUGCCCCUGCAAACAGUCCUGCUGAAAGACAGUCCCAAAAUUCAGGAGUGCAGGAGAAACAACCAGAUGCCCUUCAAUCCAAUGAUAGUCCAGUAGCGGCAGAGGGUGCUAACACCCACAGUCAACAAAGUGAAGGGCAACAUCAAGAGAAUGGUGAUGAAACCACCCAUCAAGAAGUUAACACAAUGGUUGAUAGUGUAACCUGUGGAGAACAAGUUACUCCAGAAUCCAUUCUUGAACAUCCAGGCGAAUGUUUACAGGCACAUGAACCUAUGACAAUCCAACCAUUUUCACUGAACACUACACCAAAUGGGAAUGAUAGCAUGGAAAUUGGUGAAGGAAAUGACACUGCUGAUGAGCUGGUAGGGACAAUGCCAGGGUUUGUCAACUCAUCUUCAGACUUUCAAGCUGAUCUACAAUGUGAUGGGGGUUCUGAAGCACAUGCAAGUCUCCAUGAUGUGCCAGUUCAGGCCACUGGUAGUGGUGGAUCUUCAGGAACAGAUGACCAGGCCAGUAAUCUAGGUCUGGCAAUUUCUGGUUUGCAGACACCUAAUCUAGAUGAUUUUCAUGCAGCUUCUGUUCGUGCAAGUGUUGAUGUUGAUAUGAAUAGUACUGAUGCUGAAGGAAAUCAAUCUGAGCAACCUGUGCCUGCCUCUGAAUAUGGUACAGACGAGCCAUCAUCAAGGCAAAACACACUGGUUACUCUGGACGCUGAUCAGGCUGAGCAAACUAGUAUGAAUAAUGAGGUGUCUGGUGCUAAUGCUAUUGAUCCCACCUUCUUGGAAGCACUACCUGAAGAUCUUCGGGCAGAAGUACUAGCUUCCCAGCAAGCUCAGUCUGUUCAAGCUCCGACUUAUGCACCACCUUCAGCUGAAGAUAUUGAUCCGGAGUUUUUAGCUGCUCUUCCUCCAGAUAUUCAAGCAGAAGUUUUGGCCCAACAAAGAGCUCAGAGGGUUGCGCAGCAGGCUGAAGGACAACCAGUUGACAUGGAUAAUGCUUCAAUCAUUGCUACUUUUCCUGCUGAUUUGCGUGAAGAGGUACUUCUGACUUCAUCAGAAGCAGUUCUGUCUGCAUUGCCCUCUCCAUUACUAGCUGAAGCACAAAUGCUAAGGGACCGAGCAAUGAGUCAUUAUCAGGCUCGCAGCCUUUUUGCAGGCAGCCACAGGUUGAAUAAUCGGAGGAAUGGGUUUGGUUUUGACAGACAGACGGUAAUGGACAGGGGUGUUGGAGUUACAAUAGGCCGGAGGACAGGUUCUACCAUUGCAGAUAGCUUGAAGGUGAAGGAAAUUGAAGGUGAGCCACUUUUGGACGCAAAUGCGUUGAAAGCUUUGGUUCGGCUCCUGCGGUUAGCUCAGCCCCUUGGCAAAGGCCUCUUGCAGAGACUCUUGUUAAACCUAUGUGCACAUAGUGUUACAAGGGCAAUUCUAGUGCGUCUUUUGCUUGAUAUGAUGAAGCCUGAGGCUGAAGGUUCAGUCGGUGGAUUGGCAACAAUUAACUCCCAGAGGCUUUAUGGUUGUCAAUCAAAUGUUGUUUAUGGUCGAUCCCAGUUGUUGGAUGGUCUUCCUCCACUGGUCUUGCGUCGAGCUUUUGAGAUUUUGACAUAUUUGGCUACUAAUCAUUCUGCUGUUGCCAAUAUGUUAUUCUACUUUGAUCCCUUACUUGUUCCAGAGCCUCUAAGUCCUAUAUGUAUGGAAAGCAAGAAGGAUAAAGGCAAGGAGAAAAUUGUGGAAGGAGGAUUUGCAUCAAAACCUUUGGGGAACUCUCUGGAUGUGGAUGUUCCGUUGAUACUGUUCCUGAAGCUUUUGAAUCGACCGCUUUUUCUGCGCAGCACUGCUCACCUUGAGCAGGUCAUGAGUCUACUUCAAGUAGUUGUUUAUACUGCUGCAUCAAAUUUAGAGUACCAGCCUCAAUCUGAACCAGCAACAGCGAAUUCUCAGGAUUUGCCAGUCAAUGAAGCUUCUGGUGACGUCCAAAAAGAUACUCCUUCAACGGAACCAGAGUCUAAGCAAGAGGAUAAACAUGCCAGUGCUGAGUCAUCCACUUCAGAUGGAAAGAGGAGCAUUGAUACAUAUAAUAUCUUUUUACGAUUGCCCCAAUCAGAACUUCGCAAUCUGUGCUGCAUUCUUGGUCGUGAGGGGCUUUCAGAUAAAGUUUAUAUGCUUUCCGGUGAGGUGCUGAAGAAGUUGGCCUCAGUUGUUGCACCCCAUCGUAUGUUAUUUACUUCAGAGCUCUCUGAAUUAUCCCGUGGAUUGAGCAGUUCGGCUGUCGAUGAGCUUGUCACUCUGCGGAAAACACACAUGCUAGGUUUAAGUGCUGGUUCCAUGGCUGGUGCAGCAAUCCUACGUGUACUACAAGCACUUAGUACACUCACUUCACCUAGCAUAAAUGAGAGUACAGGACUUGAGAGUGAUGGGGAGCAGGAGCAGGAGGAGCAAGCUACUAUGAAAAAGCUGCAUGUCGCACUUGAGCCAUUGUGGCAAGAAUUGAGCGACUGUAUAAGUGUGACUGAGACACAGCUGGGUCAAAGCUCCUCUCAUACCAUGCCAAAUGUAAAUGUUGGGGAGCAUAUCCAGGGGACCUCUUCUUCAUCUCCUCUUCCUCCUGGGACCCAGAGACUCUUGCCCUUCAUUGAGGCUUUCUUUGUUUUGAGUGAAAAGCUACAAGCAAACCAGUCUAUUAUGCAGCAAGAUCAUGCCAAUAUAACUGCAAGAGAAGUCAAUGAAUCUUCUGGGAGUUCAGCCUCUUUAAUCACAAAGUGCAGUGUGGAUUCUCAGAAGAAGCUUGAUGGUGCCAUCACAUUUACAAGGUUUGCUGAGAAGCACCGACGGCUUUUGAAUGCUUUUAUUAGACAGAAUCCAGGUUUAUUGGAGAAAUCACUUUCAAUGCUGCUGAAGGCACCAAGGCUGAUUGAUUUUGACAAUAAGCGAGCAUAUUUCCGUUCAAGAAUUAGGCAGCAGCAUGAGCAGCAUCUCUCUGGCCCAUUGCGGAUAAGUGUGCGGAGGGCUUACGUUUUGGAGGACUCAUACAAUCAGUUGCGGAUGCGUCCCACUCUGGAUCUAAAGGGACGAUUGAAUGUGCAAUUUCAAGGUGAAGAGGGUAUUGAUGCUGGAGGUCUGACAAGAGAAUGGUAUCAAUUACUGUCAAGGGUUAUAUUUGACAAGGGGGCAUUACUUUUCACUACUGUGGGAAACAAUGCAACGUUCCAGCCAAACCCCAAUUCUGUUUACCAGACAGAACAUCUUUCCUACUUCAAGUUCGUGGGCCGAGUGGUUGCAAAGGCAUUGUUUGAUGGGCAGCUUCUGGAUGUCUAUUUUACUCGAUCAUUCUACAAGCACAUACUUGGUGCCAAGGUGACUUACCAUGAUAUAGAGGCUGUUGAUCCUGAUUACUACAAGAAUUUAAAGUGGAUGUUGGAGAAUGAUGUGAAUGACAUUCCUGACCUGACAUUUAGCAUGGAUGCGGAUGAGGAAAAGCAUAUCCUUUACGGAAAAAACGAGGUUACUGAUUAUGAGCUUAAACCCGGGGGAAGAAAUAUAAGGGUUACAGAAGAAACAAAGCAUGAGUAUGUUGACCUUGUUGCUGGACACAUCUUGACAAAUGCUAUCCGUCCUCAAAUUAAUUCCUUUUUAGAAGGCUUCACUGAAUUGGUACCACGAGAACUUAUCUCUAUUUUCAAUGAUAAAGAGCUUGAGCUACUUAUAAGUGGACUUCCAGAAAUUGAUUUGGAGGAUUUGAAGGCCAACGCAGAGUAUACUGGCUAUACAGCAGCAUCUAGUGUUAUUCAAUGGUUUUGGGAGGUUGUUACGGCUUUCAGCAAGGAAGAUAUGGCAAGACUACUGCAAUUUGUCACUGGAACUUCGAAGGUUCCUUUGGAGGGUUUCAAGGCUUUGCAAGGUAUUUCUGGUCCUCAAAGGUUUCAGAUUCACAAGGCAUAUGGAGCUCCUGACCGGCUGCCCUCGGCUCAUACAUGCUUUAAUCAGCUUGACCUUCCCGAGUAUACCUCAAAGGAACAGCUUCAAGAACGCCUGCUGCUUGCUAUCCAUGAAGCCAAUGAAGGGUUUGGCUUUGGUUGACCCUAAGUUUAACGUGAUAUUGUGGCCCCCGCAGUGCCAGCAAUCUGCCUUUAAAAUUGCCAUGUACAUGUAAAAGAGACUGCCCCAGGUGGACAAUAAAAUUCAGGAGAUGGAAGGCCAGGAGCUUUCUUGAAAGCUUUUUUUUUUUUUUCCUCUCUCUUUCUCUCAUUGAGGCUGGCAAUCAGUUAUUAUUAUUUUUAUUAUUAUCAAUUCAACAGAUGAUAAUUAUGCUUUUGCGGAAUGGUGGGCUGCUCAGCAAGAAUUGGCUAGAAAAUGUUAAUUCUUUGGAUUCUUGCCUAGUGGGGAAGUGUACAAAAUGUUGAUGGACAUAUAUUUUCAUUGUUCAUAGUAGGUUUUUUGUUGAUAGAGUAUUUAGCCUCGAGCUUUAUCCUUUAUAGAGCCUUAUAAAUUAGUUUCUGUAACCACAUAGCAGGGUAUGUAUUAUGUAUAUUUAAUGACGUAAAUUGUAGACAGGUUCUCUCUUCUCUUC